Molecule: ribosomal RNA, 253 nt
Filed under: uncultured bacterium
Lineage: Bacteria
Description: partial 16S ribosomal RNA
Rfam family: Archaeal small subunit ribosomal RNA
Source: RNAcentral
UACCCGCAGCACAAGUGGUGGUCAUUAUUAUUGGGCCUAAAGCGUCCGUAGCUGGUUUGUUAAAUGCCUGGGUAAAUCGAUGCGCUUAACGUAUCGAACUCCGGGUAGACUGGCAAACUCGAGACCGGGAGAGGCAUGGGCUACUCGCGGGGUAGGGGUAAAAUCCUGUAAUCCUGCGGGGAACACCAAUGGCGAAGGCAGCUCGCUGGGACGGUACUGACGCUGAGACGCGAAAGCGUGGGGAGCAAACAGG